GUCCACGCCGUAAACGAUGAGUGCUAGACGUCGGGCUUUAAAGCUCGGUGUCGCAGCUAACGCAUUAAGCACUCCGCCUGGGGAGUACGGUCGCAAGAUUAAACUCAAAGGAAUUGACGGGGCCCGCACAAGCGGUGGAGCAUGUGGUUUAAUUCGACGCAACGCGCAGAACCUUACCAACUUUUGACAUGGGAAUUUCGGAGACCAGAGAUGGUUUCUUUCAGUUCGGCUGGAUUCCACACAGGUGCUGCAUGGCUGUCGU
This 262-nucleotide ribosomal RNA is filed under the name uncultured bacterium. RNAcentral's name for it is "partial 16S ribosomal RNA". It matches the Rfam family "Bacterial small subunit ribosomal RNA", at positions 793 to 1055 of the family's 1533-position model. The record is from RNAcentral.